GGUAGUGACAAUAAAUCACAAUGCGGAACAAUGUUUUGCAAUUGGAUUGAGAACAACGUACAAACCUUAUCGAUAAACAAUUGGAGGGCAAGUCUGGUGCCAGCAGCCGCGGUAAUUCCAGCUCCAAUAGCGUAUAUUAACGUUGUUGCAGUUAAAAAGCUCGUAGUUGAAAUGAAGGGUAGUUGUGUAAUGAAUACAUUCGUGUAUUUUGUUAUUCUACUACCCUCCUUCUAAAUUCGAUAUAUGAGUAUUAAUUUACUUGUAUAUGGUUUUAGACCUUUACUGUGAGAAAAUUAGAGUGUUCAAAGCAGGCAUUUGCUUGAAUAUAUUAGCAUGGAAUAAUCAUGUAUGAUUUUCAUGAUGUAUUUGAUUGGUUUGGUUCAUGAGAAUAAGAUUAAAAGGGACAGUUGGGGGUAUUCAUAUUCAAUAGUCAGAGGUGAAAUUCUCGGAUUUAUGGAAGAUGAACAAGUGCGAAAGCAUUUACCAAGGAUGUUUU
This 496-nucleotide ribosomal RNA is filed under the name uncultured Blastocystis sp. RNAcentral's name for it is "SSU rRNA". It matches the Rfam family "Eukaryotic small subunit ribosomal RNA", at positions 463 to 970 of the family's 1831-position model. The record is from RNAcentral. Lineage: Eukaryota; Bigyra; Opalinata; Blastocystidae.